GAUGAACGCUGGCGGCGUGCCUAAUACAUGCAAGUCGAGCGAACGGACGAGAAGCUUGCUUUUCUGAUGUUAGCGGCGGACGGGUGAGUAACACGUGGAUAACCUACCUAUAAGACUGGGAUAACUUCGGGAAACCGGAGCUAAUACCGGAUAAUAUUUUGAACCGCAUGGUUCAAAAGUGAAAGACGGUCUUGCUGUCACUUAUAGAUGGAUCCGCGCUGCAUUAGCUAGUUGGUAAGGUAACAGCUUACCAAGGCAACGAUGCAUAGCCGACCUGAGAGGGGGGUCGGCCACACUGGAGCUGAGACACGGUCCAGACUCCUACGGGAGGCAGCAGUAGGGAAUCUUCCGCAAUGGGCGAAAGCCUGACGGAGCAACGCCGCGUGAGUGAUGAAGGUCUUCGGAUCGUAAAACUCUGUUAUUAGGGAAGAACAUAUGUGUAAGUAACUGUGCACAUCUUGACGGUACCUAAUCAGAAAGCCACGGCUAACUACGUG
This 497-nucleotide ribosomal RNA is filed under the name uncultured bacterium. RNAcentral's name for it is "partial 16S ribosomal RNA". It matches the Rfam family "Bacterial small subunit ribosomal RNA", at positions 28 to 507 of the family's 1533-position model. The record is from RNAcentral.